UGCUCUAAUACUAUCCGACAGCUCGUUUCAAAGCUUAAGAUGCUAUUAAAUAUAAAUUUAUUCUUCAGCAAGAUAAACCUUAAGACAAAUUUCCCAUAAAAAUAAUAAUAAUAAUAAUUAUAGCAAUGAACCAAGAUGCCUAUAGGUUAGAGCAAGGCAAUUUUCUUGACAGAAACAACUGGAAAUCAAAAUAACCAAAUCCCAAAACUGGAAAAUUCAGUCACAGAAAUAAAGGGUCAUCAAGAAAAUAAAGGAAAAGCAGUAAAUUAAAUCCAGACUAUGAAACCUAACCUUGCUGGUCAGUGGAGGCCCGAGGAGAAAUAACCAACAAUCUGCGUUUAGUAGACAACUUUCUGCCAUUGAAAUGAAUUGACUGAACCCCUGAAACAGAAAAAGGCAGAGAAGGAGAAGCAGACACAGAAAUCAAUGGUUUUCUGAACGAAGCAGUGAGGAAUCUUGGAAUUGUUAUACUGAACCCAAGUUUGGUCUCCAUUUGCGGCGGUGCCAGCGGCUGUGGUGGUGGAAGGAGUUGAUGGGUGGCCAAGGUUUUGGAAGGGAUUAUGCAUUAUAAAAAUCAAGCGUGAGAAUUUUGGUGGAAGAAGGGACAGCUCAAAGAUAAGGCGAUUGAAGAAUGAGUGGAGGGAAAUUAAGAUAGUGUUUGUCUUGAUUUUAAGAAAAUCUAUUCCCUGUUCCUGGGACGUUACAAAAACUGACAUGUCAUGAUCUUUGUCAGAAAAAUCUUGCAUUCUCGUUAGG
Molecule: long non-coding RNA, 756 nt
Filed under: Olea europaea subsp. europaea
Lineage: Eukaryota; Viridiplantae; Streptophyta; Magnoliopsida; Lamiales; Oleaceae
Source: RNAcentral